UGUCAAUUAAAGCCCCUAAUUAAAAUUGAUCCUGAUUUUCCCUACCCCUCGUUUCCCAAAUUCUUCCUUUUCCUUUCCCAAAUUCUGCUUCCCCUCACUCCUUAUUUGUGGUUUAUAUUCUGCUCUCACUCUUUCUUAGUAUAAAAAUCUGCCCUUUGUUUCUCUUUUUCUUUCCCUUUCCCAAAUUUGAAAUUGCAUUUUGGGCUAUUAAAAGUUGGAAGAGAUGCAUGUUGAAGGCCAAAAUGUUUCUGAGUUAAGUAGAAUAAUAAGGCGCUCUAAAUGAGCUUCAAUGGCUUCUUCCCAUCAAAAGAUAUCUGUUGCAGUUGUGACAAAGUUUGUAUGGUGGAAUGAAGAAGCAAUAUCCAGAAACACUCUAUUUUUUUCUCAGUUAAUAACAAUGGUCAACAAAGAACUGAAGGUCAAACAACUUUGAAGAAAUUAUGGACCCUACCUUUAAACAAGCAUAUUAUAGUGUCUGCAAACUCUAAAGGCAACUAAUUGGUAAAGAGUGUUAACAGUUAGUUGGAUUUUUAGGAAUGGUUGCCCAUAAUGGAAUGAAAUUUCUUAUUCAUUAUGAAAUAUGGCAUAAAGUUCCAGCAAAAGUUAAA
Durio zibethinus is the source of this 608-nucleotide non-coding RNA. The record is from RefSeq and is a predicted model, not a curated record. NCBI's taxonomy places the organism in Eukaryota, Viridiplantae, Streptophyta, Magnoliopsida, Malvales, Malvaceae.